This is a non-coding RNA of Dracunculus medinensis (Guinea worm), 114 nucleotides long. NCBI's taxonomy places the organism in Eukaryota, Metazoa, Nematoda, Chromadorea, Rhabditida, Dracunculidae. The record is from Rfam.
GUUGGUUAUGGUGAUAUGACUCCACAUACAGCACUUGGUCGUUUAGUUGGAAGUUUAUGCGCAGUAAUGGGCGUACUUACUAUUGCAUUACCCGUGCCAGUUAUUGUUAGCAAU